GGAGAUCCAGCGGACCCCAGAGCCGGAGGGCAAAGAAGUUUCUCGAACCUGGGCCAUCAGAUCACUCCCCGACCUGAGGAGCAAGGCGUCUGGAAAACAGCUGCGACUGUAGAUGAAAGGAGACAGAGACUUCUGUGAAUGAUCUGCCCAGCGUCAUGGCCGCGGUGCGCAGUUAGCGCCCCCAGGACCCCUCCCAUCGGCCCUUGAGCUCAGCCCGCGGCUUCUGUCGGCUCCACCCACUCAACUGAGAGGCCCCUGGAGCUGAUGGGGAGACCGAGGCGGUUACCUGCUUCAAAGGCGAUCAGAUCAUGCCAGGGGACUGGGAACAGAAGGCUAGCGAGCGGUGGGGGUGGGGAACGGCCUGAGCUUUAGGACAGAAAGGAUGGAAACUUCUUUAAAAAAGGCGCCACCCUCUGACUGCUUUUUUGCGCCCUGCGCAGCCUCGCUUUGGUGCAGCUUCCUCUGACGUUCUUUCCCUGUAUCCUAAAAAACACUUGGGUCAACAUUUUCUCUCCAAAAUGGCUGAAAGGACGCACUUUUGGAAAAUGAACUCACAGGAAGAAAGUGUCCCUCUGUUUCUACCUAACCUAUACUUCUGUGACCCGGUGUGUUCCACUCUAAGCCGUUGCCCCUCAGCGCACUUUCGGUCCACCCAGCUCUUGCGCCCUCUCACGCUUUUUCGCGCUUGUGCUCUCACACCCCUUUUCUUGCUUCUGCGACUUCAAUUCCUAUGAUUUCUCCUAGAAUUCGGAUUACUACUCCCUCCCUUCACGCAUUUGCCACCUCUAUGGCCACCACUAUCCUCGCGCGACCCCCGAAGUCUCCGCUCCCUUUUCCCUCUCCUGCCCCCGCAACACCCCCAGCCCGGCAGUUUGUUUAAAGGUCUGGGUUACCUUGGGCCCCAGGCGCGUGAUAUAGAACGUCAGCAACUGCUGCUGUCCAGGCGCUCCUCAGCCAGCCUUCUCUCCUGACCUCUCCUCAGGGCUGGUCACAAGGGGGCCGCCCCCUGGCCCCUCCCCUCUCGACGUGCGGCCCCCAACCCCGGAUUCUGCCCUCCUGCAGUGAUGAAUGGCACCGCUGUCCCGCGCAGGCAGGCAAACCUCUUCCUGAAACAGACUCUGCUGGAGGCAACAGCAGCAACAGAUUCUACAGAAAGCCCCUGAAAUGGAGGCUCAGGCCUCACCUAGCUCCAGGCCCGCACUCCACAGAAAAAAAGAUUCACCCGGCGUGGGGGUGGGGGCUUCCAGAGAUGGCAACCCUCUGGCAGGAAUCCCUCAGGAUCCUGUCAGAGCCUGGUCUCUGGGAGUUGACGGAGGGAGGGAGGGAGAGAGAGAGAGAGAAAGAGAGAGAGAUUAUCCCAGAAUGUGCAGGGGAGGAAGCAUAAGCAAGGGCUCAGGCUCAGAGAGACCUGAGCCCAGGCACAUGCUUGCUGUGUGACCUCGGAUAAAACACUUAACUUCUCUGAGCCUUAGUUGUGUCAAUUUUUAAAGAGAAAUUGAAAUAAUAACCCUAGCCCAAUGUGAACACUGAGUCAUAGUAUAUAUCAAGUAAAAGACCUUUUUGGCGA
Long non-coding RNA from Homo sapiens (human), 1567 nucleotides. The record is from Ensembl. NCBI's taxonomy places the organism in Eukaryota, Metazoa, Chordata, Mammalia, Primates, Hominidae.